UUCCGGUUGAUCCUGCCGGAGGACAUUGCUAUUGGGAUUCGAUUUAGCCAUGCUAGUCGAGCGAGUUUAGACUCGCGGCGAAUAGCUCAGUAACACGUGGCCAAGCUCCCCUUCAGUCAGCGAUACCCUCGGGAAACUGAGGUUAACAGCUGAUACAAAACGUUUGCUGGAAUGCGGCGUUUCAGAAAGAUCACGCUGAAGGAUGCGGCUGCGGCCGAUUAGGUAGACGGUGGGGUAACGGCCCACCGUGCCAGUAAUCGGUACGGGUGAUGAGAGUCAGAGCCCGGAGACGGAAUCUGAGACAAGAUUCCGGGCCCUACGGGGCGCAGCAGGCGCGAAACCUUUACACUGCACGGAAGUGCGAUAGGGGAAUCCCAAGUGCGAGGGCAUAUUAGCCCUCGCUUUUCUCGACUGUAAGGUGGUCGACGAAUAAGAGCUGGGCAAGACCGGUGC
RNAcentral lists this ribosomal RNA (453 nucleotides) under uncultured archaeon. RNAcentral's name for it is "bacterial SSU rRNA". It matches the Rfam family "Archaeal small subunit ribosomal RNA", at positions 1 to 458 of the family's 1478-position model. The record is from RNAcentral.